This 427-nucleotide unclassified non-coding RNA is filed under the name Hevea brasiliensis (rubber tree). The record is from RNAcentral. Lineage: Eukaryota; Viridiplantae; Streptophyta; Magnoliopsida; Malpighiales; Euphorbiaceae.
GUUAAUAUCAUUAGCCAAUUCAGAUGUUUUGCUAUCAGUGUCAGAUGGAAUCGCUUUGAGCCUGGUACAGAAAGUAGUUUUACAAGUGGCCAUCCCAGGCCAAGACUGCAAAAAACGGUGCUGAUCGUAUAGCUUGAGAGCCGAAGAAUAGUGAAGAAGGGUAGGAUUUCUGGUAGAGAAGAAAUGAUUGGGAUGAAUAGUAGGAGAGAAUUGAGCGUUGGGCAUCUCUGCGCGUUUCAACUUUGAAUCGGGGAGAAGGAGACAGGUAGGUAUGGUUUUUAAUUUGUUUAGAGGGGGAUUCGGACUCUGGCUCCACUUGGACAGUGGCUAACUCUCUGCAGUUGUUGGCAGAGUCGAGUCGGAGACGUGGAGUGAAGUGAGACGGUGGCACGAUUCUCUCAUCUGGAUGGUUUUACUCCGCACCGGC